GUGAGUGGGACUCUGUGCCUUUGAGGUCAUAAAAGCCAGGUUUUCAUCCAAGAAAAGGGAUGCUGAACUAGUCUCCCUGAGAAAUAAAGACAGGGAAAAUGAACUAAGAGUUUCUGGAGAUUUUGAUAGAGAGAGAGAGAGGAGGGAGAGACAGAGAGACACAGAGAGGGCACGCUAUGUUGGAAUCAAUAAGAUGAUACCUGCGAAGGGAUAUUCAGCUUCAUCUUGACUUGAGCCAACCCUUUUGGAGGGUCUACAAAAGAGCUACCUGGAAAUCUUGGUGGAAGCCUCCAUGAUCCCAUAACUGCAUGUCUGCAAACCAGCAUAACAUAGACACUGGUGGCAAGCUUGGGGGGGGGGUCUCAUUUCUGUUCAUUAUUUCAUACUUAAACACUGCAUUUUGACCAAAUAAAAUUCAUCUUGCUGAUCUAGAAUGUCAACACUUAUCCUUCUGGCUAUUAUAAUAACAUAUGAAGCCAUUACAUCAUUCUGAAAAUUUCUCCAGUGCUUCCUUCCUUUCGAUUGACCAACGCUGUUCUUGCUUGGGGAAAAAAAAAAAAAAACCAAAACAAAAAACAAACCUCUUUUUUUGAUUUCAGUCACCUUAUAGUAGCUUGAUUUUUGAUGUGGUGUGCACACGGGGUGGGGUGGGGUGGAGUUAGCACAAUGUUAACACUAUGCAGAUUUUUGUCUUUGUCCGUCUUGGAGACUGAUCUGUGUUUCUGUGUAAUGUGUGAAUUCUUUGUCUCCUUUUUGGUAUUUAAUUGCAUUCACACACCAUGGCUUGUUUAUCCGUAACCUGAUUGAUGGACACUUGUUUCUAGUUCUUGACAUGUAGGAGUAAAGGUGCAGCAAACAUUUAUCUGCCAGUCUUUAAGGAUAAAAAGAUUCUCAUUUUUUCCUUGGGUAAAACGUAGGAGCAAAAUUACA
RNAcentral lists this long non-coding RNA (930 nucleotides) under Cricetulus griseus (Chinese hamster). RNAcentral's name for it is "lncRNA (ENSCGRG00015034935.1)". The record is from RNAcentral. Lineage: Eukaryota; Metazoa; Chordata; Mammalia; Rodentia; Cricetidae.